RNAcentral lists this transfer RNA (73 nucleotides) under Clostridium sp. HMP27. It matches the Rfam family "tRNA". From Rfam's summary of the family: Transfer RNA (tRNA) molecules are approximately 80 nucleotides in length. Their secondary structure includes four short double-helical elements and three loops (D, anti-codon, and T loops). Further hydrogen bonds mediate the characteristic L-shaped molecular structure. tRNAs have two regions of fundamental functional importance: the anti-codon, which is responsible for specific mRNA codon recognition, and the 3' end, to which the tRNAs corresponding amino acid is attached (by aminoacyl-tRNA synthetases). tRNAs cope with the degeneracy of the genetic code in two manners: having more than one tRNA (with a specific anti-codon) for a particular amino acid; and 'wobble' base-pairing, i.e. permitting non-standard base-pairing at the 3rd anti-codon position. The record is from Rfam by way of RNAcentral. Lineage: Bacteria; Bacillati; Bacillota; Clostridia; Eubacteriales; Clostridiaceae.
GCUCCUGUAGCACAGUUGGUAGUGCAACUGAUUCGUAAUCAGUAGGUCGCAGGUUCGAUUCCUGUCGGGAGCA